RNAcentral lists this ribosomal RNA (620 nucleotides) under uncultured archaeon. Its description in RNAcentral is "bacterial SSU rRNA". It matches the Rfam family "Archaeal small subunit ribosomal RNA", at positions 145 to 769 of the family's 1478-position model. The record is from RNAcentral.
AAUAAUACCGGAUAGAUCACAACGCCUGGAACGGUGUGUGGUUGAAAGGUUACGGCAUAGGAUGGGUCUGCGGCGUAUCAGGUUGUAGGGGGUGUAAUGGACCCCCUAGCCAUCGACGCGUACGGGUGUUGGGAGACAUAGCCCGGAGACGGAUUCUGAGACACGAAUCCGGACCCUACGGGGUGCAGCAGGCGCGAAAACUUCACACUGCAGGAAACUGUGAUGAGGGAACUCCAAGUGGAUGCACAUAGUGUAUCUCUUUUCUUUACUAUUAAUCGGUAUUGGAAUAAGGGCUGGGAAAGACCGGUGCCAGCCGCCGCGGUAAUACCGGCAGCUCGAGUGGUCGUCGCUUUUAUUGGGCCUAAAACGUCCGUAGCCGGUUUGGUAAAUCUGUGGGUAAAUCAACUAGCUUAACUAGUUGAAUUCUGCAGAGACUGCCAGACUAGGAACCGGGAGAGGUGUGGGGUACUCAAGGGGUAGGGGUAAAAUCCUGUCAUCCUUUGAGGACCACCAGUUGCGAAGGCGCCACACUAGAACGGAUUCGACGGUCAGGGACGAAGCCUAGGGGCACGAACCGGAUUAGAUACCCGGGUAGUCCUAGGUGUAAACGCUGUGAACUU